This 482-nucleotide ribosomal RNA is filed under the name Gordonia sp. (in: high G+C Gram-positive bacteria). Its description in RNAcentral is "bacterial SSU rRNA". It matches the Rfam family "Bacterial small subunit ribosomal RNA", at positions 97 to 593 of the family's 1533-position model. Lineage: Bacteria; Bacillati; Actinomycetota; Actinomycetes; Mycobacteriales; Gordoniaceae. The record is from RNAcentral.
GGCGAACGGGUGAGUAACACGUGGGUGAUCUGCCCUGAACUUUGGGAUAAGCCUGGGAAACUGGGUCUAAUACCGGAUAUGACCUUGGAGUGCAUGCUCUGGGGUGGAAAGCUUUUGCGGUUCAGGAUGGGCCCGCGGCCUAUCAGCUUGUUGGUGGGGUAAUGGCCUACCAAGGCGACGACGGGUAGCCGACCUGAGAGGGUGAUCGGCCACACUGGGACUGAGACACGGCCCAGACUCCUACGGGAGGCAGCAGUGGGGAAUAUUGCACAAUGGGCGCAAGCCUGAUGCAGCGACGCCGCGUGAGGGAUGACGGCCUUCGGGUUGUAAACCUCUUUCACCAGGGACGAAGCGCAAGUGACGGUACCUGGAGAAGAAGCACCGGCCAACUACGUGCCAGCAGCCGCGGUAAUACGUAGGGUGCGAGCGUUGUCCGGAAUUACUGGGCGUAAAGAGCUCGUAGGCGGUUUGUCGCGUCGUCU